This 117-nucleotide ribosomal RNA is filed under the name Sinocyclocheilus rhinocerous. The record is from RNAcentral. Lineage: Eukaryota; Metazoa; Chordata; Actinopteri; Cypriniformes; Cyprinidae.
AAAAGCAGCCAUGUCACCCUGCAGCCCAAGACUGCUUGCCCACUGAAGUUAAGCAGGGUUGAGCCUGGUCAGUAGCUGGAUGGGAGACCUCCUGGGAAAACUAGGUUGCUGUUGGAA